GACGUUAAGCAAAUCACAAAAACCCAGUCCCAGUUCGGAUUGUAGUCUGCAACUCGACUACAUGAAGCUGGAAUCGCUAGUAAUCGCGAAUCAGCAUGUCGCGGUGAAUACGUUCCCGGGCCUUGUACACACCGCCCGUCACACCAUGGGAGUUGGAAGCACCCGAAGUCGGUGA
RNAcentral lists this ribosomal RNA (175 nucleotides) under Anaerotignum lactatifermentans DSM 14214. RNAcentral's name for it is "16S rRNA. Bacterial SSU". It matches the Rfam family "Bacterial small subunit ribosomal RNA", at positions 1259 to 1433 of the family's 1533-position model. Lineage: Bacteria; Bacillati; Bacillota; Clostridia; Lachnospirales; Anaerotignaceae. The record is from RNAcentral.